UGAGGAAUCUUGCGCAAUGGGCGAAAGCCUGACGCAGCAACGCCACGUGGGGGAUGACGGCCUUCGGGUUGUAAACCUCUUUCGGUCUUGACGAAGGCAUCCUUGCUAGGGGUGUUGACGGUAGGGACAGAAGAAGCACCGGCUAACUACGUGCCAGCAGCCGCGGUAAUACGUAGGGUGCGAGCGUUGUCCGGAGUUACUGGGCGUAAAGAGCUCGUAGGCGGUUUGUCGCGUCGGCCGUGAAAUCCUGCUGCUUAACGGCGGGCUUGCGGUCGAUACGGGCAGACUAGAGUUCGGUAGGGGAGACCGGAAUUCCUGGUGUAGCGGUGAAAUGCGCAGAUAUCAGGAGGAACACCGGUGGCGAAGGCGGGUCUCUGGGCCGAUACUGACGCUGAGGAGCGAAAGCGUGGGGAGCGAACAGG
RNAcentral lists this ribosomal RNA (422 nucleotides) under uncultured bacterium. RNAcentral's name for it is "bacterial SSU rRNA". It matches the Rfam family "Bacterial small subunit ribosomal RNA", at positions 355 to 776 of the family's 1533-position model. The record is from RNAcentral.